GAUGAACGCUGGCGGCGUGCUUAACACAUGCAAGUCGAACGGUGAAGCCAAGCUUGCUUGGUGGAUCAGUGGCGAACGGGUGAGUAACACGUGAGCAACCUGCCCUGGACUCUGGGAUAAGCGCUGGAAACGGCGUCUAAUACUGGAUAUGAGCCUCUUCCGCAUGGUGGGGGUUGGAAAGAUUUUUUGGUCUGGGAUGGGCUCGCGGCCUAUCAGCUUGUUGGUGAGGUAAUGGCUCACCAAGGCGUCGACGGGUAGCCGGCCUGAGAGGGUGACCGGCCACACUGGGACUGAGACACGGCCCAGACUCCUACGGGAGGCAGCAGUGGGGAAUAUUGCACAAUGGGCGAAAGCCUGAUGCAGCAACGCCGCGUGAGGGAUGACGGCCUUCGGGUUGUAAACCUCUUUUAGCAGGGAAGAAGCGAAAGUGACGGUACCUGCAGAAAAGGCGCCGGCUAACUACGUG
RNAcentral lists this ribosomal RNA (466 nucleotides) under uncultured bacterium. Its description in RNAcentral is "partial 16S ribosomal RNA". It matches the Rfam family "Bacterial small subunit ribosomal RNA", at positions 28 to 507 of the family's 1533-position model. The record is from RNAcentral.